UGCAAAGCUAGUUCGCCUCCACGUGGUGCACCCUGGGUAACGCUAAAUGAACUAGCAAAGAUUUUCAGUCAGACAAUUGAGACAAUCCUAGGAUCUCCUGUCCAUAAGAUCCAUUUCACAAAGUUUCACUUUUUUUAAGAGAUAUGAUGCUAUCAAACGAGGCUAACGGUCUUUCUCUUUAUUGUUUUUCUUCUAAUUGUAUUUCUUAAUCUCUUCUUUAUGUGUAUUAUUUCUUAUUUUACUGUAAUUCUUCUAAGACUUCCAAGUCUUUGAUUUCAUUUCUGUUGAUGCCUACAUGGGAUUGUAUAGUUUUCGAUUCUUGAAUGGGAUAUUGUACUGCUUUGGAACAAGGAUUUUUGGACAAGAACAGCUGCACUUCAAUUCAACCACCCUCAUCAAGAUACCAUAUGGUUGAUUAUAUUCAACAUUCAAUGGUGGAAUAGGAUGAAAUUCAUCAUUGAAGAGGAAUAAAAUAAUUUUAGACAUUAAUAAUAGCACAUAUGAGCACACAUUCUUCAUGCAUCCUUUCACAGAAGAGGAGGUAGGGGUGAUCUCAGAGAAGGUAGCUAAUCUUUGACCAAGGGUUAAGUCCGAUGCAGGAAGAUAAAAAGCAUCGGGAGACAAAGAUUUAUGGCAAAUUGAGGCUUAUCUAACACAGUUCAGCCAUAUCUACAACUACGACUUUGAAACUAAACAAAUAGGCUUUAUCGUCGUGGCAGUUGAUGGUUAUGUCCUUCUUCAUCUGCAACAGUUUGAAGAAGAUGCCCAUUACAUUGAAUAAAUUCAACAUUCGACAGUGGAAUCACGAAAUUCAACAUUGAAGAGAACCUAAAUCAUUUUAGAUUUUGUACAACAAAUCGAUGGUUGUAUACAGUUCCAGGGCAGUACAUUUAUCCUUUUGAUGAAUAUUACCAACAAUGCAUCAGGACUUACAAGUAUAUCUAAUUUU
Molecule: long non-coding RNA, 949 nt
Organism: Sitophilus oryzae (rice weevil)
Lineage: Eukaryota; Metazoa; Arthropoda; Insecta; Coleoptera; Curculionidae
Exons: 4
Source: RefSeq, a predicted model, not a curated record